Molecule: ribosomal RNA, 465 nt
Filed under: uncultured bacterium
Lineage: Bacteria
Description: partial 16S ribosomal RNA
Rfam family: Bacterial small subunit ribosomal RNA
Source: RNAcentral
GACGAACGCUGGCGGCGUGCUUAACACAUGCAAGUCGAACGCUGAACCCGCUUCUGUGGGGGAUGAGUGGCGAACGGGUGAGUAACACGUGCGCAACCUGCCCCCGGCUCUCGGAUAACUCCAAUCAAUUGGGGCUAAUACCUGCUGUGACCGCUUUCCGCAUGUUCUGUUUGUGUAACGGGUUUCCGGCUGGGGAUGGUCCCGCGGCCUAUCAGCUUGUUGGUGGGGUAGUGGCCUACCAAGGCGACGACGGGUAGCCGGCCUGAGAGGGUGACCGGCCACACUGGGACUGAGACACGGCACAGACUCCUACGGGAGGCAGCAGUGGGGAAUAGUGCGCAAGGGGCGGAAGCCUGACGCAGCGACGCAGCGUGGGGGAUGACGGCCUUCGGGUUGUAAACCGCUUUCAGCAGGGACGAAGCGCAAGUGACGGUACCGGGAGAAGAAGCACCGGCCAACUACGUG